RNAcentral lists this unclassified non-coding RNA (393 nucleotides) under soil metagenome. RNAcentral describes it as "partial contains 5.8S ribosomal RNA, internal transcribed spacer 2, and large subunit ribosomal RNA". The stretch from base 1 to 122 matches the Rfam family "5.8S ribosomal RNA", at positions 35 to 154 of the family's 154-position model. The record is from RNAcentral.
GAUGAAGAACGUAGCGAAAUGCGAUACUUGGUGUGAAUUGCAGAAUCCCGUGAACCAUCGAGUCUUUGAACGCAAGUUGCGCCCGAAGCCAUCAGGUUGAGGGCACGUCUGCCUGGGCGUCACAUAUCGUUGCCCAAUGCCUAUUGCAGUGCAAUAGGAAUUUCUAGGGCGAAUGAUGGCUUCCCGUGAGCGUUGUUGCCUCGCGGUUGGUUGAAAAUCGAGUCCUUGGUAGGGUGUGCCAUGGUAGAUGGUGGUCGAGUUAGAACGAUACCGAUCAUGUGCAUGCUCCCCAAAAUAUGGCCUCUAUGACCCACACGCGUCUUUUGACGCUCAUGACGAGACCUCAGGUCAGGCGGGGCUACCCGCUGAAUUUAAGCAUAUCAUAAGCGAGGA